RNAcentral lists this long non-coding RNA (1316 nucleotides) under Homo sapiens (human). RNAcentral describes it as "HSALNT0148267". Lineage: Eukaryota; Metazoa; Chordata; Mammalia; Primates; Hominidae. The record is from RNAcentral.
UGCAGUUCCACCAUGGACCAUGAGGGGCUGCUUGCCCGGAGCUCCUGGAGGGGGCUCCCAGGGCCUGGCUCAGCUGGGAGAGGACAGAACACAGCAGGUAGCAUCCGAAGCUUUACCUGUUGGCAGAGUGUGUGGUGUGUGCUUUGAGUAACAUGGAGCAGGUUCAACAGAACCAAGUCUCUUCCUCUCCAAGAUUCAAUCACACCUAACGCUCUACUGCUGGAAACUCAUCAGCCAGGCUGUGUCCUCUCUGCAAGGCACUCUUUACAGACCACUAUAGAGGCUGCCUUUCUUUGCUGCUUUGCAAUGUAGGAAGUGCUUCUGGUACACACCUGAUGGUCUCCCCGUGACACUUCUGGAAGAUAACCCUGCUCGGAUGUUGAGAGACGACAGCACUAAGCCCGGAGCCUGCUGAAACAGAAGCCAGAGAGAGGAGAGCCCAGUGGGAGCCGAGUCAGACAGGAUGCCAGGCCGAGCUCAGCCUCCCUCCCUCCCCGUGCUCCCAGCUCCUGGAGAAUCCUGUUUGUUUUGUGCAAUCUUCCUGUCAUCUCCCUAGGGCUAUAAUCCCCUAUCUCCUCUGACUGGCGGCUCUCACCUUACCCUUUACACCUCUAGAGAGCAGGGCCGCUCCCUCUCCCUUCGAUGAGCAUAAACAAUCCACAUUGCCUGGCCACCGCUUGACCAUGGCAACACACGCACAUGCCCACCCAAGCUCCCAGGUAGAAGGAGGCUCAUACCUGGCCCCAGAAGCAGCAGAAGCAGCAGCAUCUUCCGUGAUGGCCCCACACCACCUUCUCUGGGGAGAGUUGUGACCACUGUCUCCAUUCACCAGCGAGGAGGGAUGACUGAUCACAGAAUCCCAAGGAUGCUCUAGUCUGCCCCCUGGUGGUAAUCUUUGCUCAUGACCCGUGUUACAUCCAUCUCUCUGCCUGUCAAAGAACCAUACAGGUCGGCGAGGUGGCUCACGCCUGUAAUUCCAGCACUUUGGGAGGCCGAGGCGGGUAGAUCACAAGGUUAGGAAUUCAAGACCAACCUGGCCAACAUGGUGAAACCCCGUCUCUACUAAAAACACAAAAAUUAGCCAGGCGUGGUGGCGGGCGCCUAUAAUCCCGGCUCCUCGGGAGGCUGAGGCAGAGAAUUGCUUGAACCCGGGAGGCAGAGGUUGCAGUGAGCUGAGAUCGUGCCACUGCACUCCAGCCUGGGCGACAGAAUGAGACUCCGUCUCAAAAGAAAACAAAAAACCCAUACAGUGUCUAAAGUGGCCUAAAGAUUUCCCAAUUCAACUUCCAAAUUUAUUAAAGAUACACUGAGACGUA